RNAcentral lists this ribosomal RNA (479 nucleotides) under uncultured bacterium. RNAcentral's name for it is "partial 16S ribosomal RNA". It matches the Rfam family "Bacterial small subunit ribosomal RNA", at positions 28 to 507 of the family's 1533-position model. The record is from RNAcentral.
GACGAACGCUGGCGGCGCGCUUAACACAUGCAAGUCGAGCGAUGAAAUUUCGACAGAUCCCUUCGGGGUGAAGAUGAAAUGGAUUAGCGGCGGACGGGUGAGUAACACGUGAGUAACCUGCCUUUGACAUUGGGAUAGCCUCGGGAAACUGGGAUUAAUACCAAAUGACACUAACUGAUCACAUGAUCAAUUAGUCAAAGAAAUUCGGUCAAAGAUGGACUCGCGGCUGAUUAGCUAGUUGGUGAGGUAACGGCCCACCAAGGCGACGAUCAGUAGCCGGCCUGAGAGGGUGAUCGGCCACAUUGGAACUGAGACACGGUCCAAACUCCUACGGGAGGCAGCAGUGGGGAAUAUUGCACAAUGGGGGAAACCCUGAUGCAGCCACGCCGCGUGAGCGAAGAAGGCCUUCUGGUCGUAAAGCUCUUUUAUGAGGGAAGAUAAUGACGGUACCUCAAGAAAAAGCCCCGGCUAACUACGUG